UACGGAGGGGGUUAGCGUUGUUCGGAAUUACUGGGCGUAAAGCGCGCGUAGGCGGACUAUUAAGUCAGGGGUGAAAUCCCGGGGCUCAACCCCGGAACUGCCUUUGAUACUGGUAGUCUUGAGUUCGAGAGAGGUGAGUGGAAUUCCGAGUGUAGAGGUGAAAUUCGUAGAUAUUCGGAGGAACACCAGUGGCGAAGGCGGCUCACUGGCUCGAUACUGACGCUGAGGUGCGAAAGCGUGGGGAGCAAACAGG
This 253-nucleotide ribosomal RNA is filed under the name uncultured bacterium. RNAcentral describes it as "partial 16S ribosomal RNA". It matches the Rfam family "Bacterial small subunit ribosomal RNA", at positions 524 to 776 of the family's 1533-position model. The record is from RNAcentral.